GACCUCCUUGUCAAUGGGAGCGCGGGACCGGGCUGCCGGCACGGCGGUCAGGUGGGCCCCCCAGCUCGCUGCCAGCGCGGCCUCUGUCCCUCUCCGGCCGGCUCUCCAUCUUGUCGCCCGCAGCCCGCCUUGUCAGUGGCUCUGCAGCCGCUGGGGCCGCAGAGCCGAGGCCGGGUUACCUCAGGAAACGCGAUGUGGUAGUGGGUCGGAAUAAACCCUCCCGCCCCAGAAUUCGCCUUGGGGGCAUGAGGACAGAUUCGGCCUUUUCGCUUCCUGUGUCCACAUUUAUUGAGCACUUAGUAUGUGGGAGCCGAGGCUGUAAGGAGAGGAACGGAGCGGGCGGAGAAAAGCCAGGGCCUUUUCUCCGGGAGCCGCUGCCUCCAGGGCCAUCGCCGACCCUGCUCCGAGAUCCCAGCCGCCGCUCUCCGUGCAGGAGGGGUGCCCACCCUUGGGGAGGCCUGGGUGCCCUGAGCGGAGGGACAGGGCUUCAAGCGACUGGGAGUUUCCAGCAAACCCCUGAUCCCUGAGCAGUUUAUUUUAAAAGCUUUUGCAAAUGUUGGACGGUUUAGCUUGGUGGAGGCCGUCUUUGCACUAAAUUCUCUUGUCCUCCCCCUUCGAAACACACAAAAUGAAUUUUGAAUAGAUUCUUGGAUGAGAGAUUUUCUUCCUUUUUUCAUCUUCUGAAACAUUUUCCCCUCAUUUCUUCUAAAAAAACCCAGAAACCCGGGUCAGUUACUCGGUGUACAGCUAGUCAAAUACUGAGAAAACUAGUCGAUAUUUGCCAAAGAUUGGGCAUGUUCUGGGUGGUCUCAGAUUUUGAAGAAACAAAUUUUUUACUGCACAAAAUAGUUUUACAAUCAGUUCCAUCAGACAGCCCCAGGGGCUCUCCUAGGGAAAGGGGCCAAUAGGCAAGGUUGCAUGGGGAUAAGAGAGGCAAGCGGCCAGUGGAAAACGUUUUUUUUUUUUUUUUCCUAACAGUUGGGCAUUUCUGUGGCUCUGAAAGCAAACUUGUUUGUUUCAUUUCAACCAUAGAAAAAAAACCACUUCUGUUUUGGAAAUGUAACCCAGCAUAAAAAUACAUUUGCAAUGGGGAAAAAGAAGGCAGUUUAGGGCCACCCAGAAGAAAAUAUUUUUUCCCCUGAUUUUUUUUUUUUUAAUUUGGUAUUUCCCAGUGUGGGUUUGCCUCAUUUUACAAAUAGCUGCCUAUGUCAAGUUGUGGGUAUGUGAUUUAAAUAUUUUAAUUUGAAUCACAUUUUACAUAGUCUAGGAAACUGACAAAGGAAUCCUAUAGAGAAUUGUUUUCUAAAGUGAAUAACUGCUUCUCUAUCUACCCGCCCCCCUCAUUCUUCUUUUCUGUGCGUGUUUUUUGGGGAAUGUUAGGGGAUAAAUCUGGUUUGGCUUAACUAAAACGCAGCCUUUCAAAUCCAAAACAGAGAGCUUAGGUACCCAACAUUCUAUAGAAUGUGUUAUUUCCUCAAGAGAUUGCUAGGAACAGUUAUGUAGAUCUACCAGGUGCAGGGAAGCACUCUACAUCCUCACCCAGGUCCUGUAUCCCUGCAAGACUGCAUUGGAAAGACUGAAGAGGAAGCUGAAGAAUGAUAUGCUCCACCACAAUGAGGGACUAAACAACAAAAAGGAGGCACGGGAUUCAAGAAGGAAAAAAGAGCUGACAAGCCAUAGCAGGACGGCCAUCCCCUGAGAGAUAGGAGAGGAGGAGAAACAGCCCGACAGGGGCCUGGAGCAGCUGGCUGGCGUCAGUAAUUUCCUGCAGGAGACUCUGCCGGCCGAGCACACGUCACCCUUCUGUUGAUCCUCUGUAUUCUCCCUUGUGCUACUAAAAUACGCUAAUGUAACUCCUGGGCUGUGCUGAGCUAAAUGCAGUUAUUUAACUUCAUCGCUAUGGAACCCAGGUCUAAAGCAGCAACAUCUAUUUGGAACAAGGUGGGGAGGAGGAAAAAUAAUCUUCCCUGGAUCUGAGCAACUGUAUUAAGUUUGUGCUUGUCUGACACCUGCAACACAUGCCCCUACCUGGAGAAGAGAGUCUGGAACAAUUGGUCUCCUAGGAUUCCCUGGAAGUCACAGUUACCUGCAUCAAAGUAUCAAGGAGGCCACUUAAUGACAGAAAUGUUAGGAGGAGGAAACUGAGACUUAGCCAGAAAGGCAGCCAAUCAAUGGCAACAUCAAGAUCUGAAAGCUGGAAUUCUGAGAUCAGAGUGCCAGCAUGGUCAGCUUCUGCUGAGGACUGUCUUCAGGGCUGCAGACUGAAGACUUCUCAUUUUAUCCUCACGUGGUGGAAAGAGCAAGAUAACUUUCUGGGGUCUCUUUUAGAAGAACACUAAUUUCGCUCAUUAGGCCUCCUCACUCAUGACUUAAUUAUCUUCAAAGUCCCCACCUCCUAAUACCAUCACAUUGGGGUACGGAUUUCAACACGUAAAUUUUGGUGGGGUUUGGGAGAGGAGCACAAGCAUUUAGUCCAUAAUAGCCACAUAAUGAAAAGAUUUAAAAAAUGAAAUUAUUCAACAGGAACACAGUACAAAUAAUAUGAUAGGACAAAGACUAAAUAUAUUUUAUCUGUUAAUAAAAGUAAAUCUUCAUUAAGAUAAUUUUCAGAAUGAAUCGCAAAGCAAACACAACUCUGUUAUAUGUAAGAGAUACAUCUAAACAAAGAUAUUCACAAAGUUUAAGAGUUAAAGAUACACCAGAGAAAUACAAACAGAAGGAAAGCAGUGAUUGAUAUCUUAAUAUCACACAACAUGGAAUUCAAGACAAAGAUCAAUAAAUAAGGAAGGAAGGGUACCUUUUAAUGUAAAUGAUAUAAAUCAGUUUAAGAUAACAUUUAUGAAUAACUAUAUGCCAAAUAAUAUAGCAUCCACCUUUAUAAAGCAGAAAUUAGACACAAGAAAUAGGCAGAUACCCUAAUAUAAAGGGAAUUUAAUUCACUUUUCUCAGUCUAUUUUAUACCAAGAGGACAAUAAUAAACAAGGAUAUAGAAUACCUAAGUAAUUAAUGAGACAGACAUGAUUAAUCCAUGUAACUAAAGAAUACAGAAUAAGCUUUUUGUUUUUUCAAAAGCUGUGAAAACAUUCAUAGAAAGUGAUCAUAUAUUAAAUCAUAAAUAAAUCUUUAAUAAAUUCCCAAAAUAGAUAUAGUAUGGAUAACACUGAGUAACUAUAAUUCAUUAAAACUAAACACUGAUAACAAAAGAGAAAGCAAAAACUCCUUCCAUCUGGAAAUUAUAAAAGCUCUCUUAAUGCUCAGAGAGGAAAUACAAAUCAAAAUGGAAGAUUGUUUUAGGAAAAAACAGUAAUGAAAGUACUCUUUAUCGGAAUUUGUGGAAUACUAUGGGUUGAGUUGUGUACCCAAAUUCAUAUGUUGAAGUCCUAACCCUCAUUAUCUCAAAAUGUAUUAUUUGGAGAUAAGGUCUUUACAGAGGUAAUUGAGUUAAAAUGAAGUCAUUAGAAGGGGUGUCCUUACCAAAUAGGACUGGUAUCCUCAUAAAAAAGGGGAAAUUUGGACACAGAUACACACAUAUAGGGAGAAGACUAUGUGAAGAGAAGGCAAGAUCAGGGUGAUGCUUCUACAAGCCAAGGACUGACAAAGAUUGCCAGCAAACCACCAGAAGCUGGGGGAGAGGCAUGGGGCAGAUUCUUCUUAACAGCCCUCAGAGGGAACCAACCCUAAUCAUGCCUUGACCUUGUACUUCCAGCUCUCAGAAAACUGCGAGUCUUGAACUGGGUUUAAGAUACCUGGUUUGUGGUACUUCGCUAUGGCAGCCUUAGAAAACUACUACACAGAUAAAGCAGUGUACAGAGAAAAAAAAAUCAUAGCUUAAAUAGCAAAAGAAAAAAUAAAAUGAGUUAAGCAUUAUGCUCAAAAAGUUAGAAACAAUAUACCAAAAUAUAUUGAAGGACUCUAGAAGGAAGGUAUCAAUAGUGAUAAAAGUGGGAAUUAACAAAUUAGAAAACAGAUUAACAGUGCUAGUAAAUCAAUCCCAGCUCUAGUUCUUUGAACCAAUGAAAUACAUAAAUCAUUAGAUAACAUAAUUAAGAAAUAACUGUCAAAAUGUAAACACACAAAUGAGAACUUGAAAGGGCGAAACAAUGAAGAAACAGAGAAAAAUUUUAAAAAAUUAAAAGAAACCACUUGGUUCUACUUUAAGCAGAUGAAUGUAAAAAUCUAGAUGAUAUAGAUAUUUUUCUAGAAAAAUAUAAUUUAUCAAUACUAACUUUAGAAGAAGUAAAUUACCUAAAUAAACUGAAUUGAAAAAAAUAAUCAAAGAGCUACUUUCCCAAAAAAGCACCAGGUAUUGAUGAUGUCUUACUUUAUUUUGUGUUGCUAUAACCGAAUACCUGAGGCCGGGCAAUUGAGAAAGAAAACAGAUUUGUUUCUUACUAUUCUGGAGUCUGGGAAGUCCAAGACUGGGAGGCUGCUCCUGAUCAGCUUCUGAUGAGGGCCUCAUGCUGUGUCAUAACAUGGUAGAAGGCAUUGCAGGAUGAGAGGGACACAAAAGCCAAACUAGCUUUUAUAACAGACCCACUCUCAUGAUGACUAAUGCAUUCCAGUAAUAAUCCAUUAAUUCAUUAACCCAUUAAUCCACCAGUAGAUUAAUCUAUUCAUGAGGGUAGAGCCCUCAUGACCCAAUUGCCUCUUAAAGACCCCACCACUUAAUAGUGUUACAUUGGGUCAUAAAUUUUAAUGUGAGUUUUGAAGGGAACAAGGAAAAACUCUAUAAAGCUUUCAAAGAGCAGAUAGUUCUAGCUUUGAUUAAAAAAAACACUUAAUAAAAUAGAUAUAGAUGGUUACUUUCUUAACGUGAUAAAAUAUAUCUCUCUCAACCUAAAAGCCAAAAUCAUCAUUACUCAGGAAUUUGUAACAUUCUAAUUAGAAACAAGAGCAAGGCAAAAAUGCUCACGUUAUUGAAAAUUGUACUGGAGAAAUUAUCCAAUUUAAAUAGACGAGAGAAAGAAAUUGACAGUAAAAAAAAAUCGAAAAGUGGGACGUAAAACUAUUACUAUUUGCAGAUCUUAUGACUGUAUAUCUGGAAAACUCAAGAGAAUUAACUAAAAAAAAUUACAAACAAGAUAAUUUAGUAUGGUGGCAGGAUUCAAAACUAUAGAAAUCAAUACUUUUGCAUAUGCAAAUAACAGCCAGUUAGAAAAUAUAAUGGAGAAAUUACCCUAUUACAGUGGCCAUGCAUAUAUAAAGACAUAACACCAGGAAUAAACUUAAUAAAAAAUGUGCAAUACAUAUAGGAACAAAAACUUUUAAAUCCCCAAAGAUACAAAAGAAGACUUGAGAAAAUGGAAUAACUACACACUUGGAUAGAAAAACUCAUAAUAAUAAAAUGUCAUUUCUUAUUAACUUAUUUUUACAACUAACAUAAUAGUAUACACAGGGUUUUGUUUUUAAUUAGAUAAGAUCAUUCCAAAGUUCACUUGAAAAAAUAAACUAGAAUGGUAAGAAGGAUACUUGCAAAUAAAAGAAAUGGCUAGCCUAACCAGAUAAAAAAAACAUACUAUAAAGCCUCAAAAACUAAAGCAAGGUAGUUGUGGUGAAUGAAUAGCGCUGCCCAUGAAACAACAUAGAAAAUCCGGAAAUAGGUCCAACUACUAUGGUAAUUCAGAAUAUGAUAAAGAAGAUACCCCAAAUUAUAGGACAAUUCAGUAAAUGAUGUUGGAAUAACUGCAUAGCCAUUUGGAAAUAUUUCAAAAGUGUCAAACAUUUAAAUGCGAAAUAUGAAACCAUAAAAGUAUACAAUGGAAA
Macaca mulatta (Rhesus monkey) is the source of this 5763-nucleotide non-coding RNA. The record is from RefSeq and is a predicted model, not a curated record. NCBI's taxonomy places the organism in Eukaryota, Metazoa, Chordata, Mammalia, Primates, Cercopithecidae.